AACGAACGCUGGCGGCAUGCCUAACACAUGCAAGUCGAACGAAGGCUUCGGCCUUAGUGGCGCACGGGUGCGUAACGCGUGGGAAUCUGCCCUUUGCUUCGGAAUAACAGUUAGAAAUGACUGCUAAUACCGGAUGAUGUCGCAAGACCAAAGAUUUAUCGGCAAAGGAUGAGCCCGCGUAGGAUUAGCUAGUUGGUGGGGUAAAGGCCUACCAAGGCGACGAUCCUUAGCUGGUCUGAGAGGAUGAUCAGCCACACUGGGACUGAGACACGGCCCAGACGGCUACGGGGGGCAGCAGGGGGGAAGAGGGCAAAAUGGGUGGAAGCCGGAGGCAGCAGGGACGAGGGCGGGAUGAAGGCCGUCGGUUUUUAAACCGCUUGCGAUCAUGACGAAGCGGUGGGUGACGGUAGGGGGUAAAGAAGCAAGGGCUAGAGAAGGG
RNAcentral lists this ribosomal RNA (439 nucleotides) under uncultured bacterium. RNAcentral describes it as "partial 16S ribosomal RNA". It matches the Rfam family "Bacterial small subunit ribosomal RNA", at positions 29 to 507 of the family's 1533-position model. The record is from RNAcentral.